This 1522-nucleotide small RNA is filed under the name Oryza sativa Japonica Group (Japanese rice). Its description in RNAcentral is "sRNA Os04g0137883". The record is from RNAcentral. Lineage: Eukaryota; Viridiplantae; Streptophyta; Magnoliopsida; Poales; Poaceae.
UUGGGUACAGACCUAUGCGAAUUGGCCCAGGUAGCAUAUCCGGGUGCUGCAGAAGGAGGUACAACAUGUAGUUGGAGAUCUCCUUGAUCACCUUUACAACAGGUUUCUCUGUAUGUUCCACCUCUUCUUUGAAACAACAUAGGUAGACAUCGGUUGCGACAUGCCACACAAGGAUGCUUUUUUCAAAGUCAAUGUCUACCGUGCUCCAGCUGAGUUCCUCAUCCAUUUUAUUCUCAUAGAGGAUGCACAUACGCCGUGCAUUCCUGAUGUCCCCUCGGCCUCUCUUUUGUAUCUCUUUUAGCACAAACUCCUUGAUAUCACUUGAAAUUGAGGUUGUGUUUGAGUAAUGCAGUUUAUUAAACCAGUUCUCAAGCCCCACUUUCAUGGCAAUCCUGCCUCUCAGAUCCGUCAUAUCACGGGUACAGAAAUCUAGCAAGUUAUAUUGUCCAAUAGAAUCCAGCCAUAAUCUACUUCGUCCUGCUUUCACAAUCUGACGAGUAAACAUUACAGAAUUGCAGGGCCAAUCCCAUUUCCUAGUAUGCAAGAACGCACAUGUCCAAGAAGACCCUACAGUCCUCAGCAAUGUUGUGAUCUCAAGGAGGAUAGCCCCGAUCAACAAAGCAUAAGUGACGGCAAAAUCAACUAUGUGAUAAGCAUCUCUCCUACUGAAAUGGAAUAGCAGCAGUGCAGCAACUGUGGCAGGUAGUGAAAAGACUCGAAUGCAACGGCCAUACCAGGUGUGUAUAACCGCUGCCUUGCUGUAUAAAAUGUCAUACAUGAGGGAUAGCUCCAUCUCGAUUAACCUGUACAUGUGCUUUCCACCAUCAAUUUGCAUGGCUUACUCGACAGCACUUCUUUGGGGCUCUGACAUCGAAAGAGCAUCAACGAAUAGGCUCUUGCAAAAAUCGAACAUGUAAUGAGCACCCAACAGAGCCUGCUUUAGAUCUCUGUUCAUCCUCUCUUUUCUGGCCUGCUCAAGGUAAGGAUUGUGAGCACUUGAAUCAUCUAAAAAAUCAAGAGAGCUUCGGAUGCUGUCCAUGUUAGCACACAUGAAUGCCCAUACCCUCUUCCCAUACUUGACAACACCGACGGCAAACAUUAGGAUGAUGGCCUCGACCAAAGUCCUACUGCCGGCAAUGUAUCUGUAGAGAACAUAAGCAACACCCAACACCUGCACUGUGAAAGUUAACAGGUGGCGCAACCAGAGCUGGUUGUCCUCCAAGGAAUAAGCUGUGAUGUUAUCCGGGCCACCCAGGUGAAGUAAGAGGAAUGUUGCCCAGAACGCAUUCAGCAGGUGCUCACGUGAGCUGCUGCUUGUGGUCAUGGAUAGCUGGCCAAGCGUGUAGAUGGCAGUGGAGUCAGCAGAUAGAUAGGAAAGCCAUAGGAUGAUCCUUAACACUUUGUAACCUUUGUGUCGACGGAUCCAUGACAAGAGGUGGAGGAUAACUUGUAGAGUGAAGCUGAGGAUGAUUAGUAUUUGAAUUUGCCACUCUUUCCAGAGUUGAGCUAGUCCUCCGGCCAU